UACGGAGGGUGCAAGCGUUAUCCGGAUUUAUUGGGCUUAAAGGGCGCGUAGGCGGGCAAGUAAGUCAGUGGUGAAAUCUCCGGGCUUAACCCGGAAACUGCCAUUGAUACUAUUUGUCUUGAAUACUGUGGAGGUCAGCGGAAUAUGUCAUGUAGCGGUGAAAUGCUUAGAUAUGACAUAGAACACCAAUUGCGAAGGCAGCUGGCUACACAAAUAUUGACACUGAGGCACGAAAGCGUGGGGAUCAAACAGG
Molecule: ribosomal RNA, 253 nt
Filed under: uncultured bacterium
Lineage: Bacteria
Description: partial 16S ribosomal RNA
Rfam family: Bacterial small subunit ribosomal RNA
Source: RNAcentral